RNAcentral lists this ribosomal RNA (1047 nucleotides) under Triticum aestivum (bread wheat). Its description in RNAcentral is "partial small subunit ribosomal RNA". The record is from RNAcentral. Lineage: Eukaryota; Viridiplantae; Streptophyta; Magnoliopsida; Poales; Poaceae.
AUGGAAGACCUGGACAACUUCUUUGGUCAGCUUGACCUAGAAGAUGAGGUGUUCGAUGGCCUAGUAAUCGAUGAAGAGGUCCCGGAGAUCAACGAGCGUGUCCGCUGGAUGGCUCUUGCCCGUGUUCAUACUGACAAGACCUUCAACCACUCGGCGUUCUUCAAGGACAUGAGGGCGGCGUGGAACACGGCACAGCCGGUGAGGUUCAGGCCAGUCGGGGCCAAUUUGUCCGUUGUGCAAGCAUCUUGUUUGGGCAAUUGGGAAAGAAUCAUGCAUCAAGGCCCUUGGUUAUUCAGAUUCUGGGCAGUUCUGCAUCCUUAUGAUGGUUUGAGCAGAGCCGAGGACACACAGAUUGUACACAUGCCAAUCUGGCCACAGAUCCAUAAGCUCCCGGAUGGUUAUUGCAGCAAGGAUAUUGUUGAGAAACUAAUCCGCAAGGCUGGGGAAAUCAUGGAGCUCAGACUUGUCGGGAAUUCCCGGGGUGAUUACAUAAGGGUCCGAGUUGAACAUGAUGUGAGGGAUCCCCUCACAAAGCAUGUGAGUAUUGUCAAAGGCAGGGAGAGGCAAGUGUCUGUAGUUAGAUAUGAGAAGCUCGCUCGCUUCUAUAAGUUUUGUGGUAAAAUAGGGCAUGAUUUCAAGGAGUGUGGAACUGGUGUUUACACUGCAAAGGAACUGAAAUUUGGGGAAUGGUUGUAUGCGGAUCCACCAAACAUGAACAGGUCUGAGUUUCAGGGGGGUUGCCGCACUACUGCUGCUGUGUCUGGAAAUCAUGGAGGUGAGGGUCUGACAAAUACUACUUCCACACCUAUCAAGAGCCCAUCUACAAGGGGGGUGACUGAAAAAGAGACCCUGGGGAAGGCAAGUGAUAACAUGGAGGAGGACAAAGGAUUAAGGAAACACAUUCUGGUUGAGUGUGGUGAUGCGACUGAUCCGCAGAUUAAUCACUGCUGUUGUUGGCGAUUACUUCUGGCAAUGGGGAGGAUGGUCAAACGACGUCCCUUACUUCUAGUACCGACAGCAAACGUGCACGAAUUGAAACUAGCUUAG